UACGGAGGGGACUAGCGUUGUUCGGAAUUACUGGGCGUAAAGCGCACGUAGGCGGAUUUGUAAGUCAGGGGUGAAAUCCCGGGGCUCAACCUCGGAACUGCCUUUGAUACUGCAAAUCUCGAGUCCGAUAGAGGUGGGUGGAAUUCCUAGUGUAGAGGUGAAAUUCGUAGAUAUUAGGAAGAACACCGGUGGCGAAGGCGGCCCACUGGAUCGGUACUGACGCUGAGGUGCGAAAGCGUGGGGAGCAAACAGG
RNAcentral lists this ribosomal RNA (253 nucleotides) under uncultured bacterium. RNAcentral's name for it is "partial 16S ribosomal RNA". It matches the Rfam family "Bacterial small subunit ribosomal RNA", at positions 524 to 776 of the family's 1533-position model. The record is from RNAcentral.